This 26-nucleotide non-coding RNA is filed under the name Rattus norvegicus (Norway rat). The record is from RNAcentral. Lineage: Eukaryota; Metazoa; Chordata; Mammalia; Rodentia; Muridae.
UAGGGGCUGUUUGCAGAGUGGUGUGA